This 438-nucleotide ribosomal RNA is filed under the name uncultured bacterium. Its description in RNAcentral is "bacterial SSU rRNA". It matches the Rfam family "Bacterial small subunit ribosomal RNA", at positions 28 to 449 of the family's 1533-position model. The record is from RNAcentral.
GAUGAACGCUGGCGGCGUGCUUAACACAUGCAAGUCGAACGGGAAUUACUUUAUUGAAACUUCGGUCGAUUUAAUUUAAUUCUAGUGGCGGACGGGUGAGUAACGCGUGGGUAACCUGCCUUGUACAGGGGGAUAACAGUCAGAAAUGACUGCUAAUACCGCAUAAGCGCACAGGACCGCAUGGUCCGGUGUGAAAAACUCCGGUGGUAUAAGAUGGACCCGCGUUGGAUUAGCUAGUUGGCAGGGUAACGGCCUACCAAGGCGACGAUCCAUAGCCGGCCUGAGAGGGUGAACGGCCACAUUGGGACUGAGACACGGCCCAGACUCCUACGGGAGGCAGCAGUGGGGAAUAUUGCACAAUGGGGGAAACCCUGAUGCAGCGACGCCGCGUGAAGGAAGAAGUAUCUCGGUAUGUAAACUUCUAUCAGCAGGGAAGAA